Molecule: long non-coding RNA, 451 nt
Filed under: Setaria viridis
Lineage: Eukaryota; Viridiplantae; Streptophyta; Magnoliopsida; Poales; Poaceae
Description: long non-coding RNA (SVIR_LNC008630)
Source: RNAcentral
UAAUAUCUAUGAACCUAAAAAGGCCAAAAAGACCUAUAAUUUAGAACGGGCCGGGGGUACGUAGGUAACGUACUAGCAAAUUCAUUGAACUUUUUGUGUUGCUCCUUCGUUUUCUUGGUGGUCACUAACCUUUUGCAGCUGAUCCAUUCCUCCCAAUUAUUCCCUAGCUAGCUCCAGCAUGAAAACUAUCUUAGAUUUAUUCUCUAACCAAAAAAGUUAAUUAAUUUCCAACAGAAUAUGUUAAAUGAGAGAUGCAUUGAGGGGAUUGCUCAAAAGGUUAUAAGAAUUUAAUCCAAACCCUUAAUUUUUAAAAGAAUAACUGUCUGUUUUAAUAUUUUUUGAGAAGGCGUAGCUGAGCAUGUUUCAACUGGCAUGACGUAAGCAGACGUUGAAGCAGCAAGACAAAAGCGCGUCAUCAUGGUCGGUCUCCAUCAAAGGAAGUGGCCUUUCG